UAUAAACAUAUAACAUAAAUUAAGAAAUCACAUCGACGCCUGAAGCCUCCAACAGAAUUGACCUUGAACCUAGAUCGGAAAUUGGGGACGGCCUGUUGAGUUUCGAAGUAAGACAACCAUAGGCUUGGGAUGGGGAAGGUCCAUAGAUUAUCUGGUAUCAGUUAGGUCUUGUUUGGCCCUAGAUCGAAAAUUGGGGACGGCCUGUUGAGUUUCAAAGUAAGACAACCAUAUGAUUGAGAUGGGGAAUAUCCAUAGAUUAUCUGGUAUUAAUUAGGGCUUGUUUGGAUGAAAUUCCUGUUUGGCUGAAAAAUAAAAUCAUAAAUUCGAGAAGCUAAACUAUGAUGGGAGGGAUUUCAAGUGUGGAUUAGUGAUGAGGGAGAGGAGGGGAGCUGUGGUGUAAUUUUGGUCGAGUUUGGGGGUGGCGCCGCCACCGGCGGCUUAGGAAUUUGAGGCGACAUCUCUAGGAUUUUCUGAG
This 475-nucleotide long non-coding RNA is filed under the name Nicotiana benthamiana. RNAcentral describes it as "long non-coding RNA (NBEN_LNC005651)". The record is from RNAcentral. Lineage: Eukaryota; Viridiplantae; Streptophyta; Magnoliopsida; Solanales; Solanaceae.